UGGGGGAUAUUGGACAAUGGGGGGAACCCUGAUCCAGCGACGCCGCGUGAGUGAAGGAGCGUUUCGGCGCGUAAAGCUCUAUCAGCAGGGAAGAAAGAGGACGGUACCUGACUAAGAAGCCCCGGCUAACUACGUGCCAGCAGCCGCGGUAAUACGUAGGGGGCAAGCGUUAUCCGGAUUUACUGGGUGUAAAGGGAGCGUAGACGGCAAGGCAAGUCUGGUGUGAAAGGUCGGGGCUCAACCCCGGGACUGCAUUGGAAACUGCCUGGCUGGAGUGCAGGAGAGGCAAGUGGAAUUCCUAGUGUAGCGGUGAAAUGCGUAGAUAUUAGGAGGAACACCAGUGGCGAAGGCGGCUUGCUGGACUGUAACUGACGUUGAGGCUCGAAAGCGUGGGGAGCAAACAGG
RNAcentral lists this ribosomal RNA (405 nucleotides) under uncultured bacterium. Its description in RNAcentral is "bacterial SSU rRNA". It matches the Rfam family "Bacterial small subunit ribosomal RNA", at positions 355 to 776 of the family's 1533-position model. The record is from RNAcentral.